Molecule: transfer RNA, 75 nt
Filed under: bacterium BRH_c32
Lineage: Bacteria
Description: tRNA-Arg
Rfam family: tRNA
About the family: Transfer RNA (tRNA) molecules are approximately 80 nucleotides in length. Their secondary structure includes four short double-helical elements and three loops (D, anti-codon, and T loops).
Source: RNAcentral
GCCCCCGUAGCUCAGUGGAUAGAGCAUUGGUCUCCGAAGCCAUGCGCGCAGGUUCGAUUCCCGCCGGGGGUACAA